Molecule: ribosomal RNA, 327 nt
Filed under: uncultured eukaryote
Lineage: Eukaryota
Description: partial 18S ribosomal RNA
Rfam family: Eukaryotic small subunit ribosomal RNA
Source: RNAcentral
CCCUUAGAUGUUCUGGGCCGCACGCGCGCUACACUGACGAAGUCAGCGAGCAUGUCCUACGCCGACAGGUGCGGGGAAUCUUGUCAAACUUCGUCGUGAUGGGGAUUGAUUAUUGAAAUUCUUGAUCAUCAACGAGGAAUUCCUAGUAAGCGCAAGUCAGCAGCUUGCGUUGAUUACGUCCCUGCCCUUUGUACACACCGCCCGUCGCACCUACCGAUUGAAUGGUCCGGUGAAAUCUUCGGAUUGAGACUUUGAUUUGUUUACUCAAAACGCUGUUUCAAGAAGUUGAUUAAACCUUACCAUUUAGAGGAAGGUGAAGUCGUAACA